This 371-nucleotide ribosomal RNA is filed under the name Bacillus thuringiensis. RNAcentral describes it as "bacterial LSU rRNA". It matches the Rfam family "Bacterial large subunit ribosomal RNA", at positions 2544 to 2925 of the family's 2925-position model. The record is from RNAcentral. Lineage: Bacteria; Bacillati; Bacillota; Bacilli; Caryophanales; Bacillaceae.
AUCCUGGGGCUGGAGUAGGUCCCAAGGGUUGGGCUGUUCGCCCAUUAAAGCGGCACGCGAGCUGGGUUUAGAACGUCGUGAGACAGUUCGGUCUCUAUCCGCCGCGCGCGUUGAAACUUGAAGGAAGGCUGUCCCUAGUACGAGAGGACCGGGACGGACGUACCUCUGGUGUGCCAGUUGUUCCGCCAGGAGCAGGGCUGGUUGGCUACGUACGGGAGGGAUAACCGCUGAAAGCAUCUAAGCGGGAAGCCUGUUUCGAGAUGAGGUUUCUUUUGAGGUUCCCUAGAGAUUAUGGGGUUGAUAGGCCAGAUCUGGAAGCACUGUGAGGUGUGGAGGUGACUGGUACUAAUUUACCGAUAACAACAAACCAC